This 450-nucleotide ribosomal RNA is filed under the name uncultured prokaryote. RNAcentral's name for it is "bacterial SSU rRNA". It matches the Rfam family "Bacterial small subunit ribosomal RNA", at positions 355 to 796 of the family's 1533-position model. The record is from RNAcentral.
UGAGGAAUAUUGCGCAAUGGGGGAAACCCUGACGCAGCGACGCCGCGUGGAGGACGAAGGCCUUCGGGUCGUAAACUCCUGUCAAGGGGGACGAAAGCUGUGCGGAUGAAUAAGCCGUACGGUUGACGGUACCUCUGGAGGAAGCCCCGGCUAACUCCGUGCCAGCAGCCGCGGUAAUACGGAGGGGGCCAGCGUUGUUCGGAAUUAUUGGGCGUAAAGGGCGCGUAGGCGGUCGUGCAAGUCGGAGGUGAAAUCCCUCGGCUCAACCGAGGAAUUGCCCCCGAAACUGCACGACUUGAGUCCCGGAGAGGGUAGCGGAAUUCCCAGUGUAGCGGUGAAAUGCGUAGAUAUUGGGAGGAACACCAGUGGCGAAGGCGGCUACCUGGACGGGUACUGACGCUGAGGCGCGAAAGCGUGGGGAGCAAACAGGAUUAGAUACCCCCGUAGUCC